AUACCAGAGGUCAGUUACAGUUCUAUGGAAGAAUGGUGGCUGAAGGCGAGGGAGGGGAUACCAAAACCAACGAAGAAGAACUUCGAUACCAUUCUCAUCCUUCUCCAUUGGAGGAUCUGGAAGGAAAGAAACGUGAGGAUUUUUGAUAAUGUCAUUAGCUCGGCUGACAGGGUUCGGGACCUGGUAAUACAGGACAUCGGCACGUGGAGGGCAGCAGGCUGCAUUUGUGAUCUGACGACGUGA
Molecule: ribosomal RNA, 243 nt
Filed under: Triticum aestivum (bread wheat)
Lineage: Eukaryota; Viridiplantae; Streptophyta; Magnoliopsida; Poales; Poaceae
Description: partial small subunit ribosomal RNA
Source: RNAcentral